Molecule: long non-coding RNA, 653 nt
Filed under: Solanum tuberosum (potato)
Lineage: Eukaryota; Viridiplantae; Streptophyta; Magnoliopsida; Solanales; Solanaceae
Description: long non-coding RNA (STUB_LNC004985)
Source: RNAcentral
AAAUGUAAUCUAAACUAGGUAGAAAGAAAAAUAGUGAUUGCAGAAUAACAAUAUAAACAAAAGCAAACAACUAAACUAAUAGUAAAAUAGAAAGAUAAGAUACUAUGUGAAUACUAGGUAAGACUGCUAAAAAAGAAGAGAAAAUGAGCUCUUUGCCUCCCCCAUGUAAAUGUACUACAACGCUCGGCUAUCUACUAUCCUUCUUCCCUAAUAUCCGACCUCCAAACAUUUAUAUUUAGGAUCAUGUGUUCAGUAAGUUGAAGAUAUACCAUGUCCUGUUUAAUCACCUUUCCCUGGUUUUUCUUUGGACUACCUCUACUUUUUCUCUAUACCUGCUAUAGUCAAACUUUCACACGCGCAACUCUUCUUCAUAUGUACAAAUCUUUUUAGUCUCACUUUCUCAUUUAUUCUCAAUGGAGACCAUUUCCACCGUCUCAUGUAUAACUUCAUUCCUAAUAUUGUUUCUCCUAAUAUGUCCAUACAUACGUCUCAACAUUCUCAUCUCCUCUAUCUUCGUAUUCUAAACAUGUGGAUUCUUAACAGAUCAUUUCUUUGCUCAAUACAACAACAUAGGUCUUAACAAACUAUGUAGAACUUACCUUUAAACUUUGGUGACAUAUUUUUAUCACAUAGUACCCUAAACUUGAAUCACU